This is a long non-coding RNA of Pseudophryne corroboree (corroboree frog), 1126 nucleotides long. RefSeq lists it as uncharacterized. The record is from RefSeq and is a predicted model, not a curated record. NCBI's taxonomy places the organism in Eukaryota, Metazoa, Chordata, Amphibia, Anura, Myobatrachidae. The transcript is spliced from 4 exons.
UUUCCCUUUACAAAUGCAGAAUUGGCUAGUCAUGCGGUACUGAAACCAGUUAAAGGUCGCUAGCACAUACUGCAGCCCGUGUCUGGUCAGCAUGACAACACACAGAAGAAUUGAAGAUGAGCCAGCAGGGGAGGCUGUACUGAAGUCUUAAAAAGAAGAAAAGUUUCAACGGAGUUAACUGGAAACUCUGAUUUUUAAAAGAGGACACUUAUAAACAGAAAUGAAGCACUGCUGGUCCCAGAGAGAUUAUUCACAUCAGCUGUUUCUAAUUACGGGUUGAGCUGGUAACGGACGGAUGAUGACGCCAUCUUGUGGGCGCCAGUCUUCCAGUUCCGGACGCCACUGACACACUUGCGGAGAGGGAUAUACGCCAGGGCAUCCACCAGCAGUCAGUAUGUUUCUGCCAAACCAAAUGCACAAUGAAUGAUGGGAAAUUAACCACUGGCUUCUAGACAAAGAUGUACAGUACCCUCUGUUGGAUCAGAAGACAAGCAUGAGGGAUGCACUUUGUAAAUCCCAACUUGAAGAUCUGGCGCUGAAGACAUCUCUCCAAGAAAUAUUCAAUGUUUAAACCCAAAAAUCAAUUAAGCUUUAUCUUACCUUCAUCCAACACAAUAGAACACAAAUGCAGGGCACUGGCUUCAUACAGUUAGGAUCUUUCACAUCCAGACUAAGCAGAUCUCUGGCAAGAGUGAACUUAACCCUCUAUAAUUCAACAUUUGCCACAUAGGCCAUACUGUAUUCAUUAGUGUGUUUUAAUGCUUGGUUUAACCACAACCUCUGAAAUGGAUAGUGCAUAGUAACAGAGAUCUUCUGAAACACCUACCUUCUGGCAGUGCACAUUCUGGCCUAUAAGAACAUUAAGUUAUAAAUGCAUACUGUUCAUGUAUACAUUAUUAUUCAUGCUCUGUGAAUGACAAUUUUUCCUUAAUUCCUUAUUGAACAAAGAAACAUUAAUCCUUGAUUAUCAACAUAAUUUUAAAUAACGGAGAUGCAUUUGUUGUAUCAAAGACUACAGGUUUAUUUUUUAUGUACAGUAUAUAGAGAAUUAGAAAUCUUAAGGGAUGAGUUAAAAAAAAAUAUGUGACACUAUGAUCCAAAUAAAUCAAAUAAUGUUUUAAAACCA